Molecule: long non-coding RNA, 334 nt
Filed under: Malus domestica (apple)
Lineage: Eukaryota; Viridiplantae; Streptophyta; Magnoliopsida; Rosales; Rosaceae
Description: long non-coding RNA (MDOM_LNC019966)
Source: RNAcentral
CAUACCAAAUUCAAACUCCACAAAUUGAAACACAUAACACUCAAGAUAGAAGUUAAGGGUUGUAAUGGGCUUGGGGUGUUGGUUAACAAGGAAAGGAUAGGGAAAACAAACGUUCUUCAAGCGAUAGUAAGCAAAGCAAUGAAAUUGAGACUUAGAAUUCACUUAGAGUGCAGAAAUUAACUUUAAAACACAAGGGGAAGACUUAAACAACUCCUUAGGGCCGAAUUCAUUGUUUUGGACCCUUACUUCAACAACCAAUACUUUGGAACUCUUUUUUCAAACUUUUCACACUUUUUUUUUUUUUUUUUUUUUUUUUUUUUUUCUUUUUUUUUUU